This is a long non-coding RNA of Mustela lutreola (European mink), 731 nucleotides long. RefSeq lists it as uncharacterized. NCBI's taxonomy places the organism in Eukaryota, Metazoa, Chordata, Mammalia, Carnivora, Mustelidae. The transcript is spliced from 4 exons. The record is from RefSeq and is a predicted model, not a curated record.
CCAUCGCACCGUGCCUCGCUGUGUCUGUUGGAGGCGGGCGUGCUUUCCUUUCGUUGCUUCCGGUGGGUCGCAGCGUGCCGGCUGGAUCUCGUAGAGCACGUCUGAUCACUCUCACACAAGACAAUAUGACGACAGCCAUCACGUCCAUCCCCAUCCCCCUCCCCAUCAUCUUCUUUCUAAACUAAACAUCUUCCGUUCCUUGAUUACCUCUAGUGACAUUUGCCUCGAGGAAACUGUUGUUGGCCCCUCUGUUUUGUCUUUGAAAGCCUUUGCGGAGGGGUUUGCCACGGUGCCUGAGCUCCGAGAAUGUAGAGGUUCUGAGAUUGAAGAAGGCCAGGAUCUUUACGGAGGAUGACCAGAGCCUGCCUGGAGAGACGAUGGAGCUGAAUGAUUGGCCAUCCAGCAGGAAGCUGAGGAGAAGGAGGGAAACACAUUCUGGAAGCAUCAGUGGAAAGGGAAGCCAACAAUUUCCUGAGACUCAUGUCCGAGGAAUAUGGAUUUAAAUGAAAAGGUAGGGAUGGACGAUGGACAGUGACCCACCUUUUAACAGGCAAAUGAUGAGAGCACUGCCUUUAGAAACAGAUCUGGAUUUCAGUCCUAGUUCCACCUCCUGCUGCUGGUAUAACACAGAUUGGUUGCUUAACCUCUCCAAUUCUUACUUUGCUUCUCUGUAAACUGUGGAUGUUAUUAAUACCUACCUCAGUGACUAUGGUGGAAAUUAAAUGAAAUAA